Xiphias gladius (swordfish) is the source of this 1559-nucleotide long non-coding RNA. RefSeq lists it as uncharacterized. The transcript has 7 exons. The record is from RefSeq and is a predicted model, not a curated record. Lineage: Eukaryota; Metazoa; Chordata; Actinopteri; Istiophoriformes; Xiphiidae.
CGCCACAGUCCCCGGGGCUGAUGGUGUUGCAGUGCGCCGGUCGUCCAGCAGAGGGAGCUGUCGGCUCAGAGCGGAAUUCUCUCUGCAGUGCGUCAUCGGCGGAGCGGACGGGAAACGGGACAGUCGCGUCCGUGCGGUCGCGUCAUGUAAAGGCCUCCCGACCACCCGACCUGGAGCUCAGGAAGUGAAUGGAAUUUCGCCUGUGUUGCAGGAAAAUUUGAAAAACUUGACGGCAGCGCCGAGGAACAGAAGAAAAAUUGUGGAUGAACUUUUUUUUUUUUUCCAAUUUUCCUCUCAUUGAGUCGGAAAAGAUUUAAAGGAAAAGUUCACAUUUUUUCAAAGUCUGUCUUAAAAACAAGUCUCGCAUGACAACAGGUGACUUCUUGCUCCACGGGGAACCUUUAGGAAAUCCCCUCCCAACGCGCCUCCACAAGCCUUCUUUUCUGCAAAAGAAAUAUUCCUACGUUUAUCUGGAGAUAAUCCGUGGCUUCAGCGGCCUGAGUUCGACACAUCAAGCUUGUUGGGGUUCCACACCUGUCCACCAGGAGCCCUCACUGAGUCUCUUCACCUGACAGCCUGAGGGACCUUCCAAGUGCUUGCUCAGCUGCUCCAUAUUUGCUCUGUGGAGUUUCCCGCCACAGACAGACCCAGCCAGAGACCAGCUGGCGGACACGGUGGAGCAUUUAGCAGCUGAAGAGCCAGAUGUUUCCCUCGGGAGCUGGUGGAGACCAAAACCAGAGCAAAAAGAGAGGGAGUGCUGGACUGGACUCAGACACCACUCACCACUUCGCUUGGUUGUUGAAGCUUGGACUUUGGUCAACUCUGCCAAAGCGAAGAGGAAGACAGAGACAAAGGGUAUCUCUGUCAAGUCAAGUUUGAGGUGGAGGACGAUGGGAAGUACACAGCCACAGCUCUCGGGACUUUUCCCAGGAUGAAGGAUCAGCGGGUUAACUUUCCUCUGAGUGUUCAGGGUCCCCCUGAACACGGCUUCCGCGCCAAAAGCACAGGUGCAUAAUUGUGCAGAGGAAAAGCCAAGUACAGUGGAGCGAGCGGCUGUGCGAGUGAUGGUGAAGUGCACUAAACUGGACCUGAAAUCUUGUCAUCACAGUGAAGUUGCCAAGCGAAGGGACGCCACUGCCCCCAGCCAAAAACAUCCUGGGACAAAAACCUCUCAACCAUAAAACCUGUCGUGUUUACACUUUUUUUGCCCAGAUUAAGUGAACAUCAUAUUUAUGCUAAUUAAUGACCUGUAGCGGUGUUUGUAUGCGGAUUUUCUUACCUUGGGACGGAGCCAGGCUCGCCGUCCCCCCCCGUUUCCAGUCUUUCUGCUAAGCUAAGCUAACUGGCUGCAACUGGCUGCAGCUCCAUAAUUAAACCUGCAACAACAGAUUUUUUCAGCAUGUUUGAGCAAAAUGUCAAACAUUACCUGGUACCAGUUUCCUCUGUGUGAGCAUUUGCUGCUCUUAUAAUAAUAAAUGAAACACCUUUGGAUUUUGGACUGUUGGUUGUACAAAACAAAACAUUGGGAGACGUCACUUUUUUCUCUAUUUUGUGGCGAU